ACCGGCUGUUGCAGGAACUAACUCCACUGGCGAAACUACGUAUAGAAGGAAACAGAACUUUGUCCAAAUGUCAGAGCGCAUGCCAAUCUCGUUGUCCAGAUGACAGAGCUCACGCCCAUCUCAUUGUCCAAUGUCAAGACGUGCUUCGAAUGUCAGAAUGCCGCCCAUCUCGUUAUCCUCCCACUAAAACUUCAGUAAAGAUUUUUACUUUCGACGUGUUGAAGUCACCGAAACGGAACUCUGAGUAUGAAUGCAUCAUACGGAAGUAAUGACAAAAGCCUGCGAUAUAAUAAUAAGGCUUAGAAGUAACAAUUAAAAUUUUCAAUUAUAUGGACGAUGAGAAGUAUUUAAGCUUCUGCCGGAAAUAAAGAAAGGAGACCAAGGGGGACGUGAAGGCUUUUAUAUGGAGAUUUAGAAAGUAAUGAGGGAAGGAGCCCAUGCAAGAUGUGAAGGACUAUACAUGAAAACAGCAGAUAGAAAAUGAGAAGAGGAGAGACCAAGAGUGACGAGAAGGCCUUAAAGACAUGGAAGCUGUAGAUAAGGAAUGGAGUAGACCAAGGAAGACGGGAAGGCGUCGCCCUGUGGUAGCCGCAUGGAACAAUGAAGAGAGAAGACUAGAAAAGUAUUACUUAUGAAGAUUUGCAAUGAGCAGAUAGUGAGCCAAGAAGAGAAGGACCAGAAACAAGGAAGAAGCAGAGAAGGCCAAAAAACAUCGAAAAGAGAAGGGCGAACAGCACGCGAGAAGCAGUAGAGAAGAAAAACAAGAAAAAAGCAGACAACCAAACAAGAAAGUAAAACAAGGAAAAACCAGAAAACAGUAGAGAAGAACAAACACAAAGGGAAAAAC
Macrobrachium nipponense is the source of this 847-nucleotide long non-coding RNA. RefSeq lists it as uncharacterized. NCBI's taxonomy places the organism in Eukaryota, Metazoa, Arthropoda, Malacostraca, Decapoda, Palaemonidae. The record is from RefSeq and is a predicted model, not a curated record. The transcript has 3 exons.